This 460-nucleotide ribosomal RNA is filed under the name uncultured bacterium. RNAcentral's name for it is "partial 16S ribosomal RNA". It matches the Rfam family "Bacterial small subunit ribosomal RNA", at positions 338 to 795 of the family's 1533-position model. The record is from RNAcentral.
CCUACGGGUGGCAGCAGUGAGGAAUAUUGGUCAAUGGACGAAAGUCUGAACCAGCCAUGUAGCGUGAAGGAUGACUGCUCUAUGGGUUGUAAACUGCUUUUAUAUAGGAAUAAAACAGGGUAUGUAUAUUCUCCUGUAUGUACUAUACGAAUAAGGAUCGGCUAACUCCGUGCCAGCAGCCGCGGUAAUACGGAGGAUCCGAGCGUUAUCCGGAUUUAUUGGGUUUAAAGGGAGCGUAGGUGGAUUGUUAAGUUAGUUGUGAAAGUUUGCGGCUCAACCGUGGAAGUGCAGUUGAUACUGGCAAUCUAGAGUGCAGGAGCGGUAGGCGGAAUUCGUGGUGUAGCGGUGAAAUGCUUAGAUAUCAAGAAGAACACCGAUUGCGAAGGCAGCUCACUGGACUACAACUGACGUGGAUGCACGAAAGUGUGGGGAUCAAACAGGAUUAGAUACCCCGGUAGUC